UAAAUUCUAAAUGCAUUUUCCAAUACAUUUACUAUGUUACGACUUAUCUCACAUUAAAAUGAGAGCGACGGGCGAUGUGUACAUAUUAUAGAGCUAAUAUCAUUAUACCUUAUUAAAACAUAAUUACACUUAAGUCCACCUUCCUACACAACAUUCAGUCAUAUAUCCGUAUAUCUUAACGAUAUUGUAACCCAUUAUUUUCCUCUCCAUCCGCUGCACCUUGAUCUAAUAUUUUAGUAAAAACUAUUUUAAUAGUUCUUUAUAAAGACCAUCUAAUAAUGACGGUAUACAUACUGACUUAACCAAGAAAGGUAAGAUACUUCGUGGUUUAUCGUUUAUAAAACAGGUUCCCCUAACUAGACUAAAAUACCGCCAAAUCCUUUAAGUUUCAAGAACAUAACCGAUUACUACUCAAGCAUAUCUAAUUUUCAGUAAAGUAUAACAGGGUAUCUAAUCCUAAUUUAAGCCUAAACCUUCAUAAUUUCAAAACAUUUUAAAAUUAAAGCCACUUACCUAAAAACACUAAAUUUCACCUUUUAUUUUAAUAAACUACUCCUCCAUUUAACUCUUUUAAUUAUUUAACUUAUAAACUUUCACUUGCCCUAUUAGUCUAACCGCGGCUGCUGGCACAGAUUUAGCCUGGACUUCUUCAAUCACUAAUUCAAACAUUAAUUCAUUGAUUAAUUUCUUAUACUGAACCUAAAAAAAUUAAAUUUUAUACUUCACCUCUCAUAACUUAUUUUACGUAUAUAUUAAUUAAAUAGUAAAAGCCGAGCAAAAAUCAAACUCACU
This 792-nucleotide ribosomal RNA is filed under the name Oplophorus spinosus. Its description in RNAcentral is "12S ribosomal RNA". The record is from RNAcentral. Lineage: Eukaryota; Metazoa; Arthropoda; Malacostraca; Decapoda; Oplophoridae.